This 444-nucleotide ribosomal RNA is filed under the name uncultured Parabacteroides sp. Its description in RNAcentral is "bacterial SSU rRNA". It matches the Rfam family "Bacterial small subunit ribosomal RNA", at positions 354 to 794 of the family's 1533-position model. Lineage: Bacteria; Pseudomonadati; Bacteroidota; Bacteroidia; Bacteroidales; Tannerellaceae. The record is from RNAcentral.
UGAGGGAAUAUUGGGUCAAUGGGCGAAAGCCUGAACCAGCCAUGCCGCGUGAAGGACUAAGGCCCUAUGGGUCGUAAACUUCUUUAGACGCAGAGCAAUAAGGGUCUCGCGAGAUCCGAUGAGAGUAUGCGUAGAAUAAGCAUCGGCUAACUCCGUGCCAGCAGCCGCGGUAAUACGGGGGGAUGCGAGCGUUAUCCGGAUUUAUUGGGUUUAAAGGGUGCGUAGGCGGCGCGUCAAGCCGGUGGUAAAAUUGCGGGGCUCAACCCCGUAGAGCCAUCGGAACUGGCGUGCUUGAGUGGAGAAGAAGUAUGCGGAAUGCGAGGUGUAGCGGUGAAAUGCAUAGAUAUCGCGCAGAACUCCGAUUGCGAAGGCAGCGUACUAUUCUCCAACUGACGCUGAGGCACGAAAGCGUGGGGAUCGAACAGGAUUAGAUACCCUGGUAGU